CUGGCUUGCAGCUGGAGGCAGCUCUCUGCUCAGGCCACCGUGGAGAAUGACACAGGCAGGCGACAUUAUCACUGAGCAGUAACUUCUAUCACAUCCAGGCAGACUGUGAUACCCAUUUCGAAAUCGGGGCAAGACGUGAAAGAAGCAAAGGGGUAGCUGCAAAGUUUUGGACAAGACCUCUACAGGCAACUGGAAGCAUAGUGUACCCAGGUGGUGGUCUCGUCUGUGACAAUAUAUUUUUAUGGCUGUAAAGGGAAUAAAAACCCCAUGUAAUCUCCAGCGGUGACAAUUUAAUCAGUUGUAUAAAAGGAAGAAACAGUCUCCUCAUUUUCAUAUUUGCAUAUUUGAUUUUUGCAUUGGGGAAUAGAGGUUAUGUUUUUCUAUUCUCAUUCAAUUUUAAGAGCAAAUUUUUACAUUGGUAGGAAAUAUUCAAUCAAACUGGUGUAAGAGAAUGAUUGCAUUUUGGAUCUAAAGUAAGCACUCAAUGCAACAUGCUUUGUGAAAUAUUUUUUUCCUGCACAGACUCUAUAUGCCAACCAUGACUUGCCUGCUCCCAGCUUCUGCAUGCGAUGCAUCUGCUAUGAGCAUUCACAGAUCCAUCCUGAAAAUGAAGGCAACUGUUUGGAGAACAAUGCAAAAUAAUGAGGAUUAUACAUAACAUGCCCCUUGAUUUUGUUAAUAUUUUUAAAAGGAAAAUUUUAAUAACUGCAUCUAUUUCUAAGCAAGUAGGGUUUCUAAAAUGCCUUAUAUUCACAGGGGUCAGUUUUUAUGAGGUUAUAAAAGAGCAGUAAGUUAAUAAAAUUCCAUUCAUUUUACAAUUGAGAGAAUGAUAUUAUUGCCCAUAAUGUAGUAACAAAUUAUGGGAUAUAGUCUAAGAUAAAUAAGAUACAAAUAAUUUGUAGUUAUCAUCAAUUACCUUUGUGUGACUCUCAUGAAUAUUUAAAAAAUCUAUUCAAAAUGGUGUUGGGUUUGAAUUACUGGAAAAUGGGUAACUAUUUUUUUAAUGCAUCAAUGCAUGUUAGCCUCUAUUUGUGAAAGCCACUAAAAUGUUGUGUAAUUUAAGGGAAAAAAAGGAUAAUAUUCUACUUCUUUGAUGAUAUAGAAUUUUUUUAUAAAAAGGGAACUCUGAAGCCAACAUUUUAUUGGACAAGGAAAAAUGAAUUAUUUUUGAUUCUAUAUAAUUUUACAAAAAGAGAAAAUAUAUUAAACAAAAGUUUUGAAAUGUUAUGUGUAUUAACAUUUAUGUAUAAAUUCACAUAUUCAUAUGUGUAUGUGUGAAUGUGUAUCUAUGUAUGAAAUGUGGCUAACUGUUGCUAAUCAAUUUCUAUGAGAAAUAACUAAACUUGGAAUUCUGAAAAGAUAAAGCCAUAGCAUUUUAUUAGGGUAGAGCAGAUUGUCUUUUUAAUUUACAUCCACGCCAAGUGCACCAGUAGCAGUACGCAGGCAUGUGUAAUCAUUAGGUGAGAAGUAUAAGGUGCUUUAAGGGUGAGUAUGGAUUCCCAUUAAAUUAAAGCACAGAAUGCAACAA
Molecule: long non-coding RNA, 1528 nt
Organism: Myotis davidii
Lineage: Eukaryota; Metazoa; Chordata; Mammalia; Chiroptera; Vespertilionidae
Exons: 2
Source: RefSeq, a predicted model, not a curated record